This 465-nucleotide ribosomal RNA is filed under the name Vreelandella stevensii. Its description in RNAcentral is "partial 16S ribosomal RNA". It matches the Rfam family "Bacterial small subunit ribosomal RNA", at positions 338 to 795 of the family's 1533-position model. Lineage: Bacteria; Pseudomonadati; Pseudomonadota; Gammaproteobacteria; Oceanospirillales; Halomonadaceae. The record is from RNAcentral.
CCUACGGGGGGCAGCAGUGGGGAAUAUUGGACAAUGGGCGAAAGCCUGAUCCAGCCAUGCCGCGUGUGUGAAGAAGGCCUUUGGGUUGUAAAGCACUUUCAGUGGGGAAGAAAGCCUUGGGGCUAAUACCCUCGAGGAAGGACAUCACCCACAGAAGAAGCACCGGCUAACUCCGUGCCAGCAGCCGCGGUAAUACGGAGGGUGCGAGCGUUAAUCGGAAUUACUGGGCGUAAAGCGCGCGUAGGCGGUCUGAUAAGCCGGUUGUGAAAGCCCCGGGCUCAACCUGGGAACGGCAUCCGGAACUGUCAGGCUAGAGUGCAGGAGAGGAAGGUAGAAUUCCCGGUGUAGCAGUGAAAUGCGUAGAGAUCGGGAGGAAUACCAGUGGCGAAGGCGGCCUUCUGGACUGACACUGACGCUGAGGUGCGAAAGCGUGGGUAGCAAACAGGAUUAGAUACCCGAGUAGUC